Molecule: long non-coding RNA, 3725 nt
Organism: Cyprinus carpio (common carp)
Lineage: Eukaryota; Metazoa; Chordata; Actinopteri; Cypriniformes; Cyprinidae
Exons: 3
Source: RefSeq, a predicted model, not a curated record
UAAUAUAUAUUCUUAGAUUUUCUAAGAAGCAUAUUUAACAUGAUACUAAAUUAUUAGUGUUUUUGAAGAGUAACUUUAAAUGAAGGAUAGAUGAAGGCGAAGGCGAUUUGUGUAUUACAUUAAACAUGAAUGACCUCAGCUGAAUCCCCAAGAACAUUGGGUUAUAAUAAGUAACACGCUUAUAACAUGUGUUACGUCCCAGGAUGUAUGAAUUUGUUUUAUUAUCAUGGUGUGCGUUUUUCAUGAUAUGCUGGCAGUGGACCCAACGGCCCUCUGGGAGUUCUCCUAAUUAUUGUCCUAAUCUAGGUGACUGGACCUAUCAGCUGCUCCUUGUCAGUGUCAAGAGGAACCAGUAUUAAAGAAGAUCAAGCGAGUGAGCCAGUGAGAUGUUCCUUCUCCCAAGAGCAUGAGUGUGUUGAGAUGUUUACUGGAGCAGUUGGGAGUUGGAUGAGAGGAGAUAUUGUUAAGAAUGGAAUUUGAUUUGACUGCGUUCACUUUGGCUCCUUCAGAAGAAGCUCCUAUGUGGAUGUCCGGACCUGAAGAUGUGCUGAAGCUGUUGGUUCUUCAGGAAGAAGCACGCAGAGAAAGGUGUUGUAAUGCUAAUUCUAAUUGCAUUAUCAUUUUUGCUCUGGAUUCAAAGCUCUCUCUGGACCAGAUGCUUUCAUGCAUUCUAAACAAAUUGGGAUUGUGAAAUGGCCGACUUCAAUCCUUCUUGGGUCGGAUACCCAUGUCUAAAUUCUACCGAGGGUCUAAAUUUGCUUCAGACUACGUAUCAAAAGGUUAAGAAUUGUUGUUGCAGACUUUAUGGCAACUGUGACCUUUUGGCUCGGUCACUGCCCAAAUUAUCCAGAGAAUGCCCUCAUAAUGCACAACGGUUGUUGGUGGCAUGAUUAUGUGGAUGUGUUUGGAAAUUAUAGCUCCCUUAGUUAGAUUCCCAUUGCCGUAGUUAGUUUGAACCAGAGUGAUUGUCCAGUCAAAAUAAACAAACACCGCAUAUGUGUUGAAUCAAAAAUCACCUGCUGCUCCUAAAUGCAGCAAAAGGGAAGAAGACGACCCGCAGCAGACUCAUGUGAUUUUGGAGGGAAAAGCGGUUAAGUUGCCUUUGUAUCCUAGUGCACCUGACCCCCAUCACAUUGUCUGUCUUUCUGCAUAAAAAAGCUAGAGACCAGCUCGAAUCAAACACAGUGGUAAGGUCUGUAGUACAGGGUUACUUGUACAGUAACAUUUUUGUUCGAGAUGAUCCUGGUUCUGAGAUGUACAAGUUGGUUGCAAAUGACAAAUUUCUGAGGUGAUGGAAUGUUUUGCAACCUGCUAAAGUCCACUUGGUCAGAUGGGAGAAGGACAGAUCUUAUGGGGUGAUAUGUGAUAGAUUAGGACAGCUGGAUAAAACUGAUAAGGGUAAUUCUGAUCUCAAUGAAGUAAGAAUGAAUUACGAAAUGUAAAUGCAUGCUCUCUCUUGGCCAAGAUAUACUAGGUUUGAUCCUUUGAAGGUUGCAUGUGUAAAGAUGCUUGGGUAGAGAGGUGCAACUGAUGCAGACUGCUAGAUGCGCAGCAAUUGUUAAAGUAAUGGGUACCCCGGGAAUGAAAGUCCCAAUGGAAAUCUGCAACUCCUCAUUUGUCAAGGCUGAUUACACUUGGGCAAAUAUUGUAGAUGUGUUAUUUCGGUAUGAUAUCGCCCUGCUACUGGCUAAUAAAUCCAUUACUAGAAUGGAACCACUACAUGACCAUCUGGAAAGUAAGCGUUAUAGUCCCACCUCUAUGGUCUAUAAUGUCACGGCAUGGAUGCAUUUGAAUGUGUUCCACUUGUGUUAAGAGAUUAUUGCCAGCAGGAAAAUGACGAUGCGGGUACCCCAGAUGGUAGAUUUAGUAUGGAAAGAUUUCCAGCUGCAUCAAGUUUACAUGUGGUCCCAGGUAUCUGAUGUUUCUUUAGGAGACGGGUAGUUUUGUGCUUAACUAUGAUUUGUGAAGUCAGCUUAUGCAAGAAAAAUGUGAAUUUCUUCCUACGUUGUACUGCAGAGAGCAAGUCAUAUAUAUAUAUUUUACAAAAUACGAAGAGUCAGGGUAAAAGUAAUGACUUAUUUGUCCAUUGCAAUAUCAAGUCAAAACACAUGUAUACAAAACCUAGCAUUUACACAGGUGAGACUUUGCUACAACUGCAAAGACAAAGAUUUAACUUUUCAAAUACCGCAUCAGACCCUCACGUACAUCCCUGCUCUGCUCCUCAGCACCCUGUGCCAGUGGCACCACUGGCUCUGCUGCAACAGGUGUAUCCCAUUCGUGCUGGUAAUCCUCUCCAUGACCUUCACAAAGAUUGUGCAGAGCACAGCAAGUCAACACCAUGGAUUUCACCAGUUCAAUGUCGCUGUCAUUCCUCUUCAUAAGGCACUGCCACCUCCCUUUGAGUCUUCCAAAAGCAUUUUCUACCACCACCUGUCCCCUGCACACUUUCUUGUUGUAGGUCUGUUGUUCUGCCGGUCAUCGUCAGGGAACGGUUUUAGGAGCCAAUUCUGCAAAGGGUAGGCAGAGUCUCAGAGUACAUAAUAGCCAGCAGUAAUCCCAUGCAAACUCCCAGCCAUUCCUGCAUAUACACUCCAAAACAGUCCUUUUCCAUCAACAACUCCUUGCAGGAUGAUGGAAUGGCAGCCUUUUCUGUUGAAGUAAUCACAGUGGUACUCCUUUGGGGCUAUAAUCAGUAUGUGUGACCCAUCAAUGGCACUAACACACUGUGGAAGCCCCCAUCGGUGCUCAAAGUAAGCCGCCAUUUCUUUAAGCUCUUGCUGGUCAGGAAAACAAAUCUGUUCUGGAACAAAUAAUUUGCAGGCGGCUCCUGCACACACCGACAUGAAGUUGUUUUGCUGAUACCGAAAAGAUGGCCAAUACUUCUGUAGUCGCUGUUGGUUGCUAGCUUCCAUAGUGCAAUGGCAACUCUUUUCUUCAGGGGAACAACUGACUCUGAAGUUUGUGUCAUGCUUUUCCAUUUCCGAAUGCAGCUUGGCACAAAAGCAGAGAAAUGUUUCUUCAGACAUCCUGAAGUUGUGCACCCACUGUGUGUGUGUGAAUCCUGGAACGAUCGCAUCCCACCAUUCACUUGUGUGGCUGAAAGUCCAAAUGAUCGGUCUGUGGCGUCGAUUUUGCAACAAAUUGAUCCUCUAAAAAAAAUACAAGUAGCAAACACAUUGUAAAACACCACAGAAUGUGUGAUAAAAGACAGCACUGUGCACUUCAGUAAUUGGCUCGUGUCAUAUAUGUAUGUUUAUUUAUGUGUUUAUGUAUGUACCAAGAGCUCCUAAACUCCUUUCACUUUCUGUGAGAAGAAAGCACCCCUACAGCAACUUCCGAAGCUGAACUGUGUUUUACUCUAGGAUUACAUAAAAUCUCAUGAUUUUAUGUAAUGAAUAAUAAUAAAUGAACUGAAUAAUAAAAAGAAAAAAGAAAACACUGAUUAGUCUUCCCUCUAUAAAUUAAAUAUGCAACGAUUCUUAUUUAAGCUACAAAAGUUAUUCAGGAAAGAGCAGUGAGUGAUUUUUCUCUUUGUCUUUUAUUCAUGGCCCCAAAUAUUGCAUGCUGCGGCGAUAUGCAUAUUGCAAUAUGUACAACCUUCACAGUACUUUUAAUAUAUUAAAUACACUGUAUGUGUUAAAUUUAUACCAAGAUACGUAUGUUAGUUAGUACAUGAGACGAAAUACAUUGUAACACACAAUGUAAAAACAUUAGCUUAUGUUAGC